GGGGGUGUAGCUCAGUUGGGAGAGCGCCUGCUUUGCACGCAGGAGGUCGGGGGUUCGAAUCCCUUCACCUCCA
RNAcentral lists this transfer RNA (73 nucleotides) under Thermodesulfovibrio aggregans. RNAcentral's name for it is "tRNA-Ala". It matches the Rfam family "tRNA". From Rfam's summary of the family: Transfer RNA (tRNA) molecules are approximately 80 nucleotides in length. Their secondary structure includes four short double-helical elements and three loops (D, anti-codon, and T loops). Lineage: Bacteria; Pseudomonadati; Nitrospirota; Thermodesulfovibrionia; Thermodesulfovibrionales; Thermodesulfovibrionaceae. The record is from RNAcentral.